UUUCCGUAGGUGAACCUGCGGAAGGAUCAUUAUUGUAUAACCGAGCUGCGAGGGCUGUCGCUGACCCGAAACGUCGUGCACGCCCCAGUGCCCUCACACUCAUCCAUCUAACCCCUAUGUGCACCACCGCGUGGGUCCCCCCUUGGCUUGUUCGGACGGGGGCUUACGUCUUCACACAAACUUUGUAUGCAGUGUAGAAUGUAUUUUGUGUGUUUGCGAUGCCGCAAUCAAUACAACUUUCAACAACGGAUCUCUUGGCUCCC
This 263-nucleotide unclassified non-coding RNA is filed under the name plant metagenome. RNAcentral's name for it is "partial contains small subunit ribosomal RNA, internal transcribed spacer 1, and 5.8S ribosomal RNA". The record is from RNAcentral.